CAAGUCGAACGCGAAAGUGGAGCAAUCCAUGAGUAGAGUGGCAAACGGGUGAGUAACACGUGGGCGACCUACCUUCGAGUGGGGGAUAACAUUCCGAAAGGAGUGCUAAUACCGCAUGACAUCCUCUGUUUGGAUACAGAGACAUCAAAGCCGGGGCUCGUAAGACCUGGCGCUUGAAGAGGGGCCCGCGUCCGAUUAGCUAGUUGGUGGGGUAACGGCCCACCAAGGCUCCGAUCGGUAUCCGGCCUGAGAGGGCGGACGGACACACUGGAACUGAGACACGGUCCAGACUCCUACGGGAGGCAGCAGUGGGGAAUUGUUCACAAUGGGCGCAAGCCUGAUGACGCAACGCCGCGUGGAGGAUGAAGACCUUCGGGUCGUAAACUCCUUUCGACCGAGAUGAAUUCUUGCCGGCCUAACAUGCCGGCAGGGUGACAGUAUCGAGGGAAGCAGCCCCGGCUAACUCCGUGCCAGCAGCCGCGGUAAUACGGGGGGGGCAAGCGUUGUUCGGAAUUACUGGGCGUAAAGGGUUCGUAGGUGGCUGGCUAAGCCAGACGUGAAAUCCCUCAGCUUAACUGGGGAACUGCGUCUGGGACUGGUCGGCUUGAGUGCAGGAGAGGAACGCGGAAUUCCAGGUGUAGCGGUGAAAUGCGUAGAUAUCUGGAGGAACACCGGUGGCGAAGGCGGCGUUCUGGACUGCAACUGACACUGAGGAACGAAAGCCAGGGGAGCAAACGGGAUUAGAUACCCCGGUAGUCCUGGCCCUAAACGAUGAAUGCUUGGUGUGGCGGGUAUCGAUCCCUGCC
Molecule: ribosomal RNA, 806 nt
Filed under: uncultured Bacillota bacterium
Lineage: Bacteria; Bacillati; Bacillota
Description: bacterial SSU rRNA
Rfam family: Bacterial small subunit ribosomal RNA
Source: RNAcentral